CCUACGGGAGGCAGCAGUGGGGAAUAUUGCACAAUGGGGGAAACCCUGAUGCAGCGACGCCGCGUGAGUGAAGAAGUAAUUCGUUAUGUAAAGCUCUAUCAUCAGGGAAGAAAAUGACGGUACCUGAGUACGAAGCCCCGGCUAACUACGUGCCAGCAGCCGCGGUCCUACGAAGGGGGCAAGCGUUAUCCGGAUUUACUGGGUGUAACGGGAGCGUAGACGGCAGUGCAAGUCUGGAGUGAAUGGCGGGGGCUCAACCCCCGGACUGCUCUGGAAACGGUAAGGCUGGAGUGCAGGAGAGGUAAGUGGAAUUCCUAGUGUAGCGGUGAAAUGCGUAGAUAUUAGGAGGAACACCAGUGGCGAAGGCGGCUUACUGGACUGUAACUGACGUUGAGGCUCGAAAGCGUGGGGAGCAAACAGGAUUAGAUACCCUAGUAGUC
RNAcentral lists this ribosomal RNA (440 nucleotides) under uncultured bacterium. RNAcentral's name for it is "partial 16S ribosomal RNA". It matches the Rfam family "Bacterial small subunit ribosomal RNA", at positions 338 to 795 of the family's 1533-position model. The record is from RNAcentral.